GAUCGUACUAAAAUCCUUUGUAAACAAACUCUUAUUGAGUUUGUUUCGUUUUUAUAUGAUUUUUACAUUGUUUUUAUAGAUAUUUUUCGUUAGAUCUGUUUAAUCUUCGUUGAGUACUGAUUACAUUCGUAAGCUCUGUCCUUAAAGGUACAGUAUAUAUUUAGGUUUUUUGUUUUUUCUUUUUAUAUGUGUAUACAGUACAUUAUGUUCAAAUAAGUACAGUUGAUAAACUGUUUAAUUUAUAUAUUGAGCCUUUUGUAAAGAUAACCCUCGUGGACUGUGAUCAUUUUGGAUAGAGAUUUCUUGCUCUAGUUAUCCAAAUGAACUUGCGUUAUCAAUUAUCUAUCUAAUUUUUUUUUUUAGAUUUAUUAAUUGUGCCAUUCUUUUUAAAUCCUCCUUGCCGUUUUCUCUUGCCAUACCAAUAACUGUUCGGUUACGAUCGCUCACACUAUCGUACAUUUAUGUUUGUCGUCAAGUAUCUUGUACGUGUUUAAACAUUAAUUCAACGUCAAUAUGAUGGAAGAUAGUGUUGAAUAUGUUUAGGUACUGUAUAAAUGUAACGUAUAUGCCUGGUUAGGAAUGUGAUGCGAAUUUUUCAAAUGGAAAAAAGAUUGGAAAGUUUCAGAUAUGUAGAAUGCCAAUUGUAGAAUGUAUCUUUACACAACAAUUUUAGAUUUUUCAUUUGAAGUAGGCGAAAUAAACUUUUAAUCGAGGAGAAGACUAUGAGAAAGAGGAUUUCUAAACCAAUGAUAAUUUUUAACAUAAUGUUGAAACUAAUAAUGUCAACGGUUUUUACUAUAUUCAUUAUAACCAACUUUUUUGAAGUAUUGCAUCUGUGUUGUAUAAUACUUUCAUACUUAAAGAUCAAAUGUCACAGCACAACGAUGAUUAAUUAUUAAACUAAUGCACUAUUUAAAGAACUAUCUAAUCGAUAUAGACAAUAGCCCAAUAGUUUUUGACAUAGUCUCUUGAGAAAUGUCACUUUUAAUUUGAUUAUACUUUGUUCGAUAAAUGAUAUUUUCUUUCCAAAAGUAAUAAACAAUUGAGAGAAAAUCCAAGAGAGUUAUAAAAUUAUCGUAUGGUUGAUCCUCGUUGUUGACUCUUCCGCAUCAUGUUUCUAGCGUGAUACGUUUUAGCAAGUAACACGAAAAUUCAGGUUUCGUCAGACCUCAAGUAUAAUGAUAUAAUAAGAAUAUGACAUACAUAGUAUAUACUAAAAGUUGUAUAUAUCUAUAUAUUUAUAUUUAUAUAUAUAUAGAUAUAUAUAGAUACAUAAAUAUUAUAUUAUAAAAGUAUAAGAGAAUGAGCUGUAUUAAAAUACUCCACCGCCACGUAUUUGUAAUCGUAAAUAACAACAACAACAACAAAAAAGAGAGUACACCUUAGACGGUACAUUUAGUAAGUAAGUUUGUAUACAAGACAACAAAAAUACGACGUAAAUUGAGAAAGAAAAAAAUUAGUGCGCGUGCGAAAGCGAGAAAAGAGAGAGAGAGAGAGAGAGAGAGAGAGAGAGAGAGAGAGAGAGAGAGAGAGAGAGAGAGAGAGAAAGAAAGAAUGAAAGUGAGAGCGAGAAAGGAUGAGAGAGAACAAGAGAAAGAAAAGUCGAAGAAGAAAGAGCGAGAGAUAGUCUCCUAAAACAGAGCAAGCCAAAUAUGGAGCUACUGAAGAAAAAACUCGCAAUGUCGAUAUUGUGUGUAUGUGUAGUUAUAUCGAGAAUUCAAAGAGAAAGAGAGAGAGAGAGAGAACAAAAAAAAUGCCGUGCGUAUUAUUGAUCUAAUCAUGCGAAGAGAAAAUAAUUAAUAAAAUAUAGCUUUAUGAUUUAUACAACGGAGUUGAGUGAUGAGAAGAAAGUUUUCCAAAAAUUGUACAUCUUUACAAAAAUAAUGUAAAAUGUGACAUCACAAAAUGGUCUAUUCAAAAGCUAUGAUUAAGAAAACGGUGUUCUCGUAUUCGACGGAUUUUUUAUACUUUUUAAUGAAAAAAGAAAAUAAUAAUAAUAAUAAUAAUAAUAAUAAUAAUAAUAAUAAUAAUAAUAAUAAUAAUAAUAAUAAUUAAACAAAGUAAAUUAUCCGUCUCUUCGAGUAAAUAGAAGUUGGUGUUCCUAAGAAAAAAAAAGGAAAGAAAAGAAAAAAAAAUGAAAAGAAAGAACGAUAUUUAAAUAGUUCUCACUUUUUCUUUCUCUUCUCUUCUCUCACUCUCUUUCUCUCUCUCUCUUUCUCUCUCUCUCUUUCUCUGUCUUUCUCUCUCUCUCUCUCUCUUGGUUUUUCUCUCUUUUUCUCUCAAAAUAAAAGGAAAAACAAUUCUCCAGUGCCUUCGCAUAGCGCUGGAAUUUUUCGUAUUUCUUCUAACUUUUUCGAUGAGUGAAAUAAAAGAAAUGGCGUUGUGCGUGACUCUUUUUGGAACACCGCGUAUAUGUACUUGCUACUUCCUCCAUUUUCUUUUUCGCAUAUAAGGUCUUCGCGCGGUAAAGUUCAUAUACGCGAAAGAAAGAGAGAGAGAGAAAAAGAAAGAGACAGAAAUAACGACAAAAAGUAAGGUUAAAUAUUUUUGGUAAUGAAAACGAUACAAAUCAUCGAAAACGACGACGAUGAUAAUAAUGAUGAUGAUGAUGAUGAUAAUGAUGAUAAUGAUGACGAUGAUGAUAAUUAUGAUAAUGAUGAUGAUGAUGACGAUGAUGAUGAUGAUGAUGAUAAUGAUCAUUGCACCUUGUUAUUGACAAAUUCGUACAAGUAUCGAUGAAAGAUACGAUAGAGAAAAAAAGAAGAUAUUGACAUAUUGACAUCCAUGUUUCUUUGUUUUUUUAAUUUUUAAUUUUUCUUUUGAACACUUUUGAACACGUUCAACAUGUUUCAAAGGGCUUUAAUUUUUUUUAUUUCAAAACACAUUUAGAAAUCGUGUACUUAAUCAUUCGUGCGACUCAAAAUGCAAAAUAAUGUAUUUUUACAUUGCGCUAUUUGAAUAUAUUCUCUACACAUACGUACAUACAUAAAUACACACAUACAUAUAUAUAUAUAUCAUAUACUUAAAUCGAUAAGUACGUAAUAUACUUAAUUUGAUCGCUUUGAGUUAAAUAAUUAGACAUAUUUUUUGUACAUUUCGUGCGUUAAUUUUUGUCAACAUUUUUCUUUUUUUUUUUUUUUUUUUUACGUAGUAACGUUUUUAGCGGGAAAUUCAAAGAUGAGAAGUAGAGGAAGGGACGUAUUAAUUUUUACUUGUCAAAUCGAGUAAUGAAAGUAAACAUUGAAUAGAUUGUCAAAUUUUAUUGAUUAGUUUACUUGAAAAGAUCGUCGUAAAAAAGGAAAGAAAAUAAACAACAUGAAUGAUUUUAUAAUGUUCUAACUCGAUGAUGAUUAAGAUUUCAAAAAAUCGAAAAAAAUAUAGGUCACGAAAGGAAGAAUUUAUGUUUAAUAUACAUAUGCUUCUUACUCUGGCUCGUUCGGUCGUACAUAAACAUUAAUAAUGUAACAGUGUGUCGAUUAGAGGUUAGCGUCUUCAUAUAUUUUUUAAUGACAGAAGCGUUAUCUCUCGUGAUCAAAUAAAACAAAAAAAAAAAAGAAAAAACAAGAAGGAAAAAAGAUAAGGACGUUCGUUUUUCCAUUACGUGAGCAUCAUUCGUAAUGCUUCACAUGCAUAAGUAGUUGUCGUAAAUUUAACUUUUUCCCGUAUAUCUGAAUAUCCUGGAUUUUCCUGGAUUUUCCAGGCGAGGCGCAUUUUUGCCAUUUAUUGUUGUUAGAAAGUGAACUCUAAGCAGCUUAUUUUAUUAUUCCGCAUUCAUACAUAUUAUUAUAUGCUGUGGAUAUGUAUAUGUAAAAUAAUAUACUGUUCAAAACAAUUAGAGGAUCAUUACUGUGAACUAGUUUUAUCAGCACCGAUCAAAUGAACGGAAAGAAACACAAAAAAAAAAGCUUCCCGAAAAACUUUGUGAAUUGAUUUCUUUUUAUACUUUAUUAUAACACAUUUACUACUCUUCAUUUCUAAAAAAAAAAAAUAAAUAAACAAACAAAAAUUUUUGAAAUUAUAUUUGCGGCGUGGAACGUGGAUAAAGAUUACAAUAUGUAAUCCUCUAAUUGUUCUGAACACUUUAUAAAAGAUGAGAACCGCAGGCCCUUAAUCCGUAGGAUUAGAGGGUUUCCAGGCAAUAAUUCAUUAUUAAAUAUACAUAUGUCACCCAUUGUACGAACGAAAAUAAUUUUCGACCAAUGAGGGGACAUAUCCAUGCCUAUAACUAUUAUUACGGGAAAGAGUUAAAAAUAAUAUUUUCGAUUAUCGAAACAGAUUUUUGUGUAAUAGCCGUUCUCUCGAUGGACAGAGAAGAAAAAAAUUCUUACUUACACUAAAAAAAAAAAAAAAAAAGAAAGGAAGAAUGAUAAAUGCACACACUCACAUGAACACACAUAUACACAUACACACUUCAUGUUGUAAAUCAAAUAGAAUUUCUCCGAAGGAUGAGUGUAACGGAUGAGAACAAUAUUUUUCUACGCAACGUCGAAACUCUUAAUCGUACUAAAUCGAUCGAUAGAGCCAAAAGUGAACUCGAUUGAAAGCCUUCGUAUAAGAAACGCGUGAUCUUCGAACGGGUCAAACUAAAACGGGUUUGCAACAAAAAAAAAACCGAUUGGAAUGUGGCCUAAAGAAUUAUUAUUAUUAUUACAUUAAUACUAUUAUUACUAUUAUUAUUAUUAUUAUUAUUAUUAUUAUUAUUAUUGUUAUUAUUAUUAUUAUUAUUAUUAUUGUUACUAUUACAUUAUUAUAUACGAAGUUUCAAAUUUAGAGUUCUGAAUAUUGAGAAAAAAAUUGCUGCAGUUUCUUUUUUCAUGUAUAUUGCAUUUUGCUAUAUUUGUUUGUAAUUAAUCACAUUCCUAUCGAUUAAAGUCAUUUUUUUUGGGUGUGAAUCAAGCCUUGUUCUUUCCUCGUUCGUCAGCGAAGAACAAAAUGUUUUAGUUUGCUCGGCUUGUCGUCCACUUGGCGUGCAUGCGUGCGUGCGUGUACCACACAACAUACAUUUUAAUGCGUGCGAUUCUAUAAGCGAUUUUUUCGCGAAGGACCCAACGUCGUCGUCGUCAGCGCGCGAACGAGUGAGAUACGAUCGAAGGGAAAUGUGGAAAAGCUACAUAUAUAAAAAAAAAAUUCCUCGACAUAGUACAAAGCAUUUAAAAGCUCAAUUAUAUAUAUUUUUUUUCCCCGAAUAGUCUAGACGAGAGAGUCAUUUGAAAAUUUUACAAGUUUUUUAGUGGGCCGUUUCGAAAAGCUUACCAUGUGACCAUGAAGAAGAGGAAACUUAUAAUUCCCACCACAAAAAGAAAGUUCGUAACACGAAGUAUUUUUCAAUAUAUUUCUUAAUUUUUUUGUGUUUUCUCUCUCUCUCUCUCUCUCUCUCUUUCAAUCUUUCUCUCUCUCUUUUUCUCAAUCUCUCCAAGAUACGAGAAUAUAAUAUCCAAUAAUUAUUCUUGAUACUAUGAAUAAAAUGUAAAAUUUAUAUUGAAAUCAUUUUAGUAGAAUUAUGUGUACUUCGUGGACACCCGGUAAGCAUUAAUUCGAGAAAAAGGACACUGUAAUCAAUCCAUCAAAGGACAAAAUUUUUUGUUCGGACGUAUCCUAAUUUUAUUCUGUUUUCUGGUUUUUUAAUUUUUUUUUUAAUAUUUUAUAUUACUUUUUUUUGCCUUCCUUAUUCCCUUCAACCCACAAAAUCCGCUCCCAUAAAGUUGAACAUUUGUACCGCAGUCUUCCAGGGUACAAAAUAUGCAGUUCUUUCAUCGUCGUGUAUAAAUCAAAAGAAAUACAUGCGAAGAUUUCGGAAGGAAAAGAGGAAGAAAGAAUGAGAGUGAGAGAGAGAGAGAGAGAGAGAGAGAGAGAGAGAGAGAGAGAGAGAGAGGAUCAUUUUAGUAUUGGAGACGUUCCAAAGUACUACUUUCGCAUAUGGAAUUGAGGUUGUGUUCGUUCGCUUAUAUUCGCCUUUUAAACCGAGCCUCGCGUGACAGUAAAAGCCUAAUCGAAAGCCACUCUUCGCAGCUCAGUUUGGAGGCUCGUGUGGAACCCUGACAUGCAUUCGAAUAUGGCGAGAUACUUAAACGUAGUCUAUAUUUGGAUUAAUACGAUCGCGCGAUCGUUCGGUUGACCUUCCAAGAUUUGUAUAAAAAAAAAUUUUUAAAUGAAAAUUUCGUUUCGAAAACAAAAUUUUAUACGAAUGUAUCAAUUCCUUCUUUACAAUUACGAUCACUUCCUAUACCUUUUCUGAAUGAAUCUUUGUCCUUUUAUCGUAAAUCGAUUUAUAGACAUCUAAGACAUCGUCUUUGAUCGGUAUUCAUUCUCAGUUAAUUGUAUUAUAUCGAAAACGACUAUUAUUACGCCUAAGAUCGAGAUAAAGUGAGGGACAUAAAGUGGGGAUAGCGAUAAGCGUUUGCAGCAAAAAAAAGGGAGGGGGAGCCUCGAGGCGAUGCACAAAGUGACCAUAUUUGGUGUUGUUAGAUUACGUUCAAUACGUGGGCGUGAACGCACCCUUGUUACUCGUAACUGAAUCGCUCCAGUUACGUCGUGGUACGCACAUUCAUGAGACUAAUUAAUUUUGUUGGAAGAAGUGCGUUAGAUGAAUAAGAAUAAAAGGAAAAGAUAGAAGAAGAGAAGAAGAGAAAAAGAGAAGGGGGAAAGGAAGAGAGAAAGGUAGGAAGAAUACAUCGACGUCUGGAAAUCGACCUUUAUCGCGCAGAGGAUACCAACAUCCGCAGGAUAACGACUCUGGUGUCCCACCACAGGAAGGGGAAGCGUCUCCUUGCGGAUACCAACUCUGCCUUAUCCCGACUCCACAAUUCAGAAGCUUUUAUCGAUUUCUGAUAAAAAAAAUACGGCAUUUCCUUAGGAUUUCCAUGAAAUCUUUUUACCCAUCUUUUAUCAGCUUUUAUUUCUUCUGUUUAUCAUCAUGUGAUUCUUGUGAUUCCUUUUCAAAAUAUAUACAUACGUAUAUCAAAAUAUUUAUCAUCAAUAAUACGUAUUCGAAAAGUACAAGCUCUCACGGCGGGAAUUUCAAACGUCUUAUACGGAAUAACAUUUAAAUUCUUUCCUUUUUUUGAGGAGGGGUGAAUGUCGGAAAAUGGAGGACAUCCUCGCAUAUAUUAUUACUGCUACUCGUCGUCAAAUAUGUCCAUGCAUAUAUAUAUAUAUAUAUAUAUAUAUAUAUAUAUAUAUAGUCAUUAUUAUUAUAUCUGAAAAGUAGUUUCUGAGAUUUCUCAUACGUCACUAGGUCAGAAUAUACUUUCUAUCAACGAACGAUGAACCGUUGUCAUAGAUACAGUCGAUGGCAAUUUCCGUAUUGCAUAUAUAUAUUGCAUAUAUAUAUAUAUAUAUAUAUAUAUAUAUAUAUAAUAUUUAUAAGAUAUGCUUACAUAAACUGCAAUAAUAUAUAAAUAAUAAUUUGUUUUAUGAGGACUUCGAUAAUCUCAAAAUUUCGUUUUGGAAGAUGAUUAUUUCAUUAAAAUAGACUGUACCGUGAGAUCUCAAACUUAGAAUGAUUCCACACGACAAACGUUACUUGAUUUCCACCUUCCAUUCUAUCUUAAUAAAAUUUUAAUUAAUGAAUCGAGAGGAGAAAGAAACGCAUAACGUCUGCAGAUGCGCGCACGCACCGCAUGCGACGCGCACUUCGAUCGAGUCUCCGCGAUGACCUUGAUUUCUGAAGCCGUGAAAAGAUCCCGUCGUCGUUGAGUCAAUUAAACCAAGCCACGAAGUCAUUGACUUUGCCGUUUCACGGCCAAUUUCUCAUCGACGUUCUAUAAUACGGUAUAUGCACAUAUAUAUAUAUGUACGUUGUCCCGAAAAAUCUUUUAAUGAUCUCACAGCUUCCUUUACAUAUAUCUUUACGAAUGUUAAAUUUGAUUUACACGACAUACUGACUCACUUUUACUUUACGUGCUUGGUAUAUUUGCGCCACGAAAAGAAAACGAUUUCUAACGAUCUAGAAAUGUCUUCGAAGACAAAAAUGAAAAAAUAAAAAACAGAGAAAGAAAGAGAGAGAGAGAGAAAUUUCAAAUAAAACUGAAGAAUUCUUAUCCAAUCAGAAUCGUUUUGAAAGAAAGAAAAAAUUUAAGAAAGAAACACUUAUGAUUGAUCAAUUGUUAAGAUCAAAAAUAUGAAUUGCGAAUUCGGAAACUCUCGAAGUACCGUCGUCCAAUUACAGAGAUGGAAGUAUUCCAAGUAUUAAGUUUAUUUGAGAGAGAGUUAUGGAAGAGGAUCGUAUGGCUGAACGAAGAAUGUUUAAUUCUAUUUCAUUGAUUUCUAAAGAAUAUAUUUCGUCCCUGCGGGUCUCAUCCGUUGCGUUUAGUAUUAUAAAUAAGCAUUCAGUAUCCCUAACUAAAUUGGACUAACAAUGUGUCGUUGUUGAGUUAGGUCGAAUCACGUGACCUCUGGCGUCGCACACGCGUGUGUCCACGCGUACGUUGAACGAACGGGGUUGGACGCGUUUAUGAAAAGAUAGAGCUAAAAGAAGAUGGUAUUAGGAUAAAGAUAGAGGUAGAAAGAGGAGGUUGCAUCCUGGCUGGGUUUUCGUGUCUCGGUGGCUCCAGCGGCGCCACGGGGGUGUCUCUUUCUCUCUCUGCAUGGGGUGAGUCAUGGUGUUACCACCUCUCCUCGUGCCUGGGCGUGGUGGCCACCACUGCAGACGUCUCUCAUCGAUUUCUACAGCCGUGAAACACCAUGGGCCGAGUCUCUGCUUUUCGGCUGAUUCGCGUACGCUCCUAUUCGUUUUUCCUCUCUCUCCCUCUUUCCCCAUAUUACUCUUGGUUCACUUGACAGAAGACUGGAAAUGUAUCAAAAAAAAUGCCAACUCGUCCAGAUUUAUUUAUAAAGUAUAUAUAUAUAUAUAUAUAUAUAUAUAUAUAUAUAUAUAUAUAUGUUGUGAAUGAUAUUAUAGAGAGUGAUAAGAGUUUUUUGUUAAUAUUACGUUAAAUGCAUUAAAUAUUUCAACAUUUUAAGAUUUGAGACAUUUUAUAUGAAAUUUAUUGGAGUAAUCGAGGAGUCAAAAUAAAUAAUGAUAUUCGUAGAAGCUAUUAAGAGAAUCCAAUUGUCUACACAGACGUUAACAGAUGUUAAUGUAUGCGAUUUAAAUGAAUUCUAUUAUUGUAUUCUGUCAUUAUAAUUCUAGAGCUGAUAAGGGACAAUGGAUAGAGUUCGUGGGAUGACAUACGGUUCCACGAUAAAUCAGGCAUCAGGAUACAUAUACCUUGGGAAGGAGAGUAGGUCUUCCCUAGAGUAAAUUUUCCAGGCCUACUACUAUAAUUAGCAGAUAUAUCUCCCUCCUGCAAAGAAGGCAUAUGCCGGGGUUCAGCACACAAUUCUAUCUAACCUCUCUGAAACGAACGUUUGAAAGGCAAACAUAGUAAUGUUAGAGAUAGAACGUGGCCAGUAUGUAGAGCCGCACGUUCGAGGAAACCUUUUCGGUGGUCGAGGACAGCUGUAGAACUCGGAGGAUGUCUAAACGACGGCCAUAUCGUUUCAAAUUCGAACGCUCCCCAUCUGCAGUUCGUCGUGAGUCAUCGGUUGCCAGCCAAACUCAUGUAGGCUCUCUCGUUUUCUCUCUUCCUCAUUCGCCCCAAAAGGGAGCUCUCAGUAAGGCUUUCCUCCUAUCGAGCGGCGAAUCGAAUCUCAGAGACUAACUAGAUACGUAUCAAGUAUAUUAUGUAUAUCUUAGGAAAUUCAUUCUGAAGUAGAAAAUGUCAUGACCUAAGCUCUGAUUGGGUUUUAAUAAUGUACAUUUUGUUGGUAUUGCCUAAUCAAAACUUGGUGCAACUAAUUUUGUUUUUAUAAUUUUUUGUUGCAUCAUCAAUCUAUCUUAUUAAAUAUUAUGAUGAGAGAGUCGAUUAAAGUGAUGUAACAUAUAUUGAAAGUUGAUUAAAGGAGCAUAAGAAUAUUCAUUGUAUAUAAAUGAAAAAAUAACACUUUAUAAAAAAAUAACAAUCUUUAGACUGACCAAGUACACAAAAAUGUCAACAUUUUUUAUCAGCAUCAGUCUUUAUUGAAAGUACGAAGAACAGUUCCUAACUCCACCCGCAAUCAAAGUUAUUUCUAGCGAAGAAAUGUAGGAGUUCACAAAGAUUCGAGUUAUUCGACUAGAUAGUAUAUAUAACGGAGCGACAGGUGUCGCGAUGAAAGCAGGUUCUUCUGACCGAUAUCCAGGAUCGUAUCUUGUCUAUAGCGUAUGUACUAAAAUAAAAUAUUACCGUCGUCGGCAUUUUCAUUUUCUUUUUUAAAUUAUGCGACUAUCUGUGAAAACAUUCACUCGAUAAAUUUUUACCAUUCAACAACAUUUUCUUUUUCAUAUUGAAAAGAUCAUAUUUUUGUGCAUUCAAAUAUUCCCAAUGUAGAACUUAUAUUUUAUAUAGAAAAAAGAAAAAAAAUUCUCGUACUGUUAAUAUGACAUAAUAAAUUUUUUUCUCAUUCUUAUUAUCAUAUUUUUUUAUUCGAAUAAAAAUUAUCUAUUUAAGAAACGCGUAUGAGAAAAAAAAUUUUUAUUUCAGACACAAAUUAUCCGAAAAUCUAGUUACAGUCCUGUCUUCGCUGCUCCUCGAGAUCCGUUUCCAGGCUCCUGCGUUCUAGCCUGGAGCAACGUAUACGAAGAGUUCCAUUCGAGCACUAAAAAGUGCAACGUGCUCGAUAAAUCUGUAUCUCUCGGUCUUUUGUUAGAUAAUUUUUUAUGUUCACGACGAUUUACCGAUCAGUAACAAUGCAACAUUGUCAAAGUUGUUUUUAUAGAAGAAAAAGAAACAAAUAUAUCUACAUUGAAUUCAAUUUCAUGAGAUUUCAACUUGAAAAUAUGUUUUUAAUUACAGCAUACAUCAUAUCAAACAAUGAGAAGAGAAAUCGAGCUCUUAUUUCUCUUCUUCAUCUUAUUCUUCAUCUUUUUCUUUACAAAAAGCAACCAAUGGAAGGCUUUGAACGCUAACCUCUAAACGAACUUGAACUUGGAAAUAUGUAGAACGCAUGCGGUCGUGCCGUUAGACAUGCUUAUCCUACGAGACGUUUUACCACAUUAAUCUGAGGGUCGUAUAAAACCGGCAUAAAGUUUCAGGUGAGAGAGUCAAAUAGUAAAUGCAUACAAAGGUGUCUUCUUAACAACAGGAUUCUUCAGAUAGGUUUGUGCCGAAUGUACAGGUCAAAAUGGUGGUCGAACCUGAACCCCUAUCUUCUGCCAGCAUACACACAUAUACACUAUACGCACGUACGGACAAAGGAAGACAAAGACAUUCUUUUCUUUACUAUAAAAUUCAAUAAGGCUUUAGGAUCGUUCUAAGAAAAAUAUUUCCUUGUCUCUAUUAGUACAAUUGAAUCCUUGAUGAUUUUCCAUAAGAACACCAUAAUCUUUCAAAUAUAUUUAUCGUAGCAUAUUAUAUAUAAUUAAAAAUUUCGUAUACCGUUAUAGUCAAACAAUUAUAACGCCUGCUUGCAUUUCAUGUCAUUAGAUCAUUCCAAAGCGCGUGUUGUCAUAUAUCACGGUCGAAACAUGCAAAUGCUUGCCUCUGCAGGAAUUGUCGAUUAAUAUAUACAUAGUAUGAUCAGCUUAAUCGCGACAUUCUACUUUCCAGUCCAUUUAAGCAGAAUUUACGGAUUCGAUUGAAAUACUGUUGGUAACGUAGUUGGGAUGAUUUAUGUUCCUAACGUUAGAUUCUACAUUUGAGACAGGGAUUCUCAACCUUCUCGAAGUUAAAACAAGAUUAAUUUCUAUAGAUGAUAUUUUUGUACAACGAAAUUAAUAAGGAAUGUUUAAAAAUCUUAAUCAGCUAUUGAUCCCGAUUAGAACUAGUUUUAAUAGAUUCUAAGUCUAAGGGCUCUAAACCCAAUCGUGACGACACUGUUGCCCUCGGUAUUCCCUUCUACACUCCCUCCACUUCCUUACCCGCUCAUUCUAUCCGACGAGUAUAACCUACUCGGUACCACCCAUUCAUCCGGCAGUUUUUGCCUACCGGUUUAACGAACCUGUACACUUCGUUCCAGUUCCAUUCAGCUCGCUCCUUUUUUUGCGCCUCAGCGACAAUUCUCGUCUGCUCGCGAGAUCAUUGCUGAUGAAUGGAGGAGAAUAAGACAAGAGGUAAUAUGACAAAAAAAAAAUCUAAAGAAAUUCUUGAAUAAACACAGUAUCAUGAUACAUCAUUGGAUUAUACAUACCUAAGAAACGUAAUCGAUCCUCCCUACCUGUCGAAACGGAAAUGGCUAUUUAUAGACAACGAAUGCUUCUUGAAUUCUUACGAGUUGCGAGAAAAGAUGGUUAUGAAGUUGAAACGUCCGGAUAUAUCCCCCGAAAGCUUCUUACGUUAAACAGGAAA
Vespa mandarinia (Asian giant hornet) is the source of this 12305-nucleotide long non-coding RNA. The record is from RefSeq and is a predicted model, not a curated record. NCBI's taxonomy places the organism in Eukaryota, Metazoa, Arthropoda, Insecta, Hymenoptera, Vespidae.